Molecule: ribosomal RNA, 252 nt
Filed under: uncultured bacterium
Lineage: Bacteria
Description: partial 16S ribosomal RNA
Rfam family: Bacterial small subunit ribosomal RNA
Source: RNAcentral
UACGUAGGGGGCAAGCGUUGUCCGGAAUGACUGGGCGUAAAGGGUGUGUAGGCGGUUGUCAAGUUAGGAGUGAAAUACCCGGGCUUAACUCGGGUGCUGCUUUUAAGACUGGCAGACUUGAGUGCAGGAGAGGCUAUCGGAAUUCCUAGUGUAGCGGUAGAAUGCGUAGAUAUUAGGAAGAACACCGGAGGCGAAGGCGGAUAGCUGGCCUGUAACUGACACUGAGACACGAAAGUGUGGGGAGCAAACAGG